UCAAGAGGUUAUCUUCAGUGUGGGGAUUGCAAAAAGCCCCAUGUUUUCCUGUUAAGCCCUCUCAUCCCAGAUCAAACUAAGAGAAAAGAGUGCUGGAGAAUGGUAGGGAAUUUGAUUCACCCUCCCCUACCUGUCAAAAGGAAGGAGGAGGAAAGGACAGCAGCUACAUCGGGGCUCCACUGGCAAUGACCCCGGUCCCUGGGCACCCUGUAGCCCACCUAGAAAGCCUGGAAGUAUCACCGCCACCCCCAGCAGCUGUGGGGAGAGAGGAAAGUGAGAUGGGUCAAGGCAAUAUGAGAUUUUUGUCUUCCAGAUUACUGGCCUUUCACCUACUGUUGGGUACCAGUGGGUACCAGCCCACGCUCACCUAUCAUCCCCUGGAUGCAGCCUUUACUCAGUUCCAGCCAACCUCCUCCCUGGAACGCCCUCAAGGCAGGGCCAGCUCUACCGACCUUUGCCAGCAUGAAGCAGUUGCUGAGAUCUUCGCCCUUUACCUCAAAAGAUUUUGGGUCCCAUUUGUUUGAGUCCUGUGCUUUGUUGGCACUCAGCCUGGAAUUCCUGCCUCCUUGGUUGAUAACUGAAUGGGUGUGAAAUUACCUAGGCCACCAUCCCUAGCCUGGGGACACCCAGGCCAACUGGCCACAUGCACUUCUGCCCCUUCCUUCCUUCUACCCACCUGGAUCUGCAUCUGAACUGAACUUCUAGAUUUUCUCCAAACAUUGAGGAAGUUACUCCACUUAGCUUUAGAGCUAUUGACCUAGGAUUGAGCCCCCUUGAGUGGAAGGAGAGUGAUAAAUUUGCCUAGUCUGGCCCCAGACCAGCUAUCAUAGUUAGGAGGGGCGAGGGAUUUGUGCACAACACACUUCUGAGUUUAAUCUGCAUUAUGGACAUUUUCUCCUUUACUUUAUGAAGUCUAGACAAUCAACAAAACAGUGAUUGAGUAUUUAAAGAUGCAAUGGACAAAGUUAUGACUUUGUGAGCUUUGAAAGAUUGGAAAAGCUGUCAAAAGUACUCUCAGCUACUAAAGUCUGUAGCAAAGACAGCUGGGGGUGAUAGCAACAAAAGAUGAGUACAAUGAGAUGAUAGUACUGAGGAAUUAGCUGCUUGACUCAGCCCAGCAGUCGAUUGACCUAUCAGCAGAAAUACCAAGUCCUAUAAGGAGCUAACCCAACUGAGCAAGAGAAUGACUGAUCCAGAAUCAAUGCCAGUUCCUGAAGAGAAUUUGGUAGAGCGUCCUCUAAGAAAGAAAAGGACUUCCAGAGUCAAGAAUCCCAGGUCCUUACAUCAUCCCUACAUGUUUUGCCUCAAUGUACCUUUGUGCUUCAAGCUUGAUAUACCUUCUCAGUAAAUAUCCUUUUGUAAAAGCUAAUUGAUGUCAAGCAAUUGAUCAUUUGAGGGAACACACAGGAUGGGGGCUCAUGAAUAUAGUACUACCAUCCUAAUCCCUAAGGGUUACUAAAUGUUAGAACUCUGAUGGCAACAGUAGGCAACUGUGCCCUGGGACCCAGCUGGCCAAUUUCAGCAGGAUAUAUCUUCCCAGUUGAUAAUUUCUCUUCUUAUACCAAGUAGGUUUUUCAGGACAGAAGACAGUUGUUGCUUUUUGCCAGUCACGGCUCUGACCACAGUCCCUCAGGAAAGUGUCCAGCUGCCUUCUGAGAUAUUCUGACCCUCAUCAGAGGAGGAAAUUAGAGAAAAUUUUAAUCUCCAAGCUCCUACAGCACCCUUCAUCAUGUACUAUCUUCCAUAUAUAGUGCUCAUAGUGUAAAAAUUGCCACUUUGACGAUUUACAUUUGACAAUUUGAAGAGACACUACUUUGCUCUCCACCUGCCGUCUUUGUGUAUGAAUUACAUGACUUUAGUUUCUCCCUGAGCCAGUCUCUCUUAGUAAAGAAUUAGACCCAUGUUCAGCCCAGAACCUUAUGAGUAGAAGGUGCUGGAUAAUUAUUCAUUGAAUGAAUGAAUCCAUGUAAUUUGGUGGUAAAUUUAAAAGCUUCUUGUCACCCAGAUUGGUAUAAUGUAAUCCCAAAGACAGUAGUUGGCCACUUUCAUUCCUGCUAAUGAACCACUUGCUUUGUCCUGGUUUUCACAGCUUCAAUUAUCCAAGAAGCACACAAUGUACUUGGUUUGAAUCAGCCUUGGCUGGUUCGGCAAAAGCUGGGCUAAUUGUGGGUGAAGUAAUCCAACCUUUGGCUGUACAAAGAAUGGGAAAUAUUCAGUAACUUCAACUGUCCUAAAGACCCCAGAGGGCCCUGGGCCUCUUGGAAUAUGGGCCUGAAUUUCAUUUGGCUUUCUCUUGAUCGUUUUCACAAAAAUAAGAGGCAAUCUCCUGCAUGAAUUCGAGAGAAUUCAUUAGGUUACAUUUCUGUAACCUAAUCCAUCUGUGUAGAUUCAAAAAUAAAAUGUUGUCUCCUCCUUA
This is a long non-coding RNA of Vombatus ursinus (common wombat), 2416 nucleotides long. RefSeq lists it as uncharacterized. The transcript is spliced from 5 exons. The record is from RefSeq and is a predicted model, not a curated record. NCBI's taxonomy places the organism in Eukaryota, Metazoa, Chordata, Mammalia, Diprotodontia, Vombatidae.